ACGGGUGAGUAAUGUCUGGGGAUCUGCCCGAUAGAGGGGGAUAACCACUGGAAACGGUGGCUAAUACCGCAUAACGUCGCAAGACCAAAGAGGGGGACCUUCGGGCCUCUCACUAUCGGAUGAACCCAGAUGGGAUUAGCUAGUAGGCGGGGUAAUGGCCCACCUAGGCGACGAUCCCUAGCUGGUCCGAGAGGAUGACCAGCCACACUGGAACUGAGACACGGUCCAGACUCCUACGGGAGGCAGCAGUGGGGAAUAUUGCACAAUGGGCGCAAGCCUGAUGCAGCCAUGCCGCGUGUAUGAAGAAGGCCUUCGGGUUGUAAAGUACUUUCAGCGGGGAGGAAGGCGGUGAGGUUAAUAACCUUACCGAUUGACGUUACCCGCAGAAGAAGCACCGGCUAACUCCGUGCCAGCAGCCGCGGUAAUACGGAGGGUGCAAGCGUUAAUCGGAAUUACUGGGCGUAAAGCGCACGCAGGCGGUCUGUUAAGUCAGAUGUGAAAUCCCCGGGCUUAACCUGGGAACUGCAUUUGAAACUGGCAGGCUUGAGUCUUGUAGAGGGGGGUAGAAUUCCAGGUGUAGCGG
RNAcentral lists this ribosomal RNA (583 nucleotides) under uncultured bacterium. RNAcentral describes it as "bacterial SSU rRNA". It matches the Rfam family "Bacterial small subunit ribosomal RNA", at positions 102 to 681 of the family's 1533-position model. The record is from RNAcentral.